AGCAGCCGCGGUAAUUCCAGCUCCAAUAGCGUAUAUUAAAGUUGUUGCAGUUAAAAAGCUCGUAGUUGAAUUUCGGGAUCAGAUUGUUGGUCGUGCCCCGGUACGCACUGGCAUUAUUGGUUCCUACCUUCUGAAGAACCGCGAUGUCAUUAAUUUGGUGUCGUGGGGAAUCAGGACUGUUACUUUGAAAAAAUUAGAGUGUUUAAAGCAGGCGCACGCUUGAAUACAUUAGCAUGGAAUAAUGAAAUAGGACGUUUGAUUCUAUUUUGUUGGUUUCUAGGAUCGACGUAAUGAUUAAUAGGGAUAGUUGGGGGCAUUAGUAUUCAAUUGUCAGAGGUGAAAUUCUUGGAUUUAUUGAAGACUAACUACUGCGAAAGCAUUUGCCAAGGAUGUUUUCAUUAAUCAAGAACGAAAGUUAAGGGAUCGAAGACGAUCAGAUACCGUCGUAGUCUUAACCAUAAACUAUGCCGACUAGGGAUCGGAUGAUGUUAAUUUUUAAUGACUCAUUCGGCGCCUUAAC
RNAcentral lists this ribosomal RNA (520 nucleotides) under uncultured Glomus. Its description in RNAcentral is "SSU rRNA". It matches the Rfam family "Eukaryotic small subunit ribosomal RNA", at positions 569 to 1092 of the family's 1831-position model. Lineage: Eukaryota; Fungi; Glomeromycota; Glomeromycetes; Glomerales; Glomeraceae. The record is from RNAcentral.